Molecule: ribosomal RNA, 253 nt
Filed under: uncultured bacterium
Lineage: Bacteria
Description: partial 16S ribosomal RNA
Rfam family: Bacterial small subunit ribosomal RNA
Source: RNAcentral
UACGUAGGGUGCAAGCGUUGUCCGGAAUUAUUGGGCGUAAAGCGCGCGUAGGCGGCUUUGCAAGUCGGGUGUGAAAUCCCCAGGCUCAACCUGGGAACUGCAUUCGAGACUGCAUUGCUAGAGUAUGGGAGAGGGAAGUGGAAUUUCAGGUGUAGCGGUGAAAUGCGCAGAUAUCAGGAGGAACACCAGCGGCGAAGGCGGCGCUCUGGGCCGGUACUGACGCUGAGGAGCGAAGGCGUGGGGAGCAAACAGG